GCCAGGCAGGACCCAGCAUGGACACGAGGGCCCCCACUCAGCUGCUGGGGCUCCUGCUGCUCUGGCUCCCAGGUGCCAGAUGUGCCGCUGUGGUGACGCAGAAUCCAUCCUUCACGUCUGCAGCUGUGGGAGGCACAGUCACCAUCAAUUGCCAGUCCAGUCAGAGUGUUUAUAAUAACAACCUCUUAUCCUGGUAUCAGCAGAAACCAGGGCAGCCUCCCAAGCUCCUGAUCUAUGGUGCAUCCACUCUGGCAUCUGGGGUCCCAUCGCGGUUCAGAGGCAGUGGAUCUGGGACACAGUUCACUCUCACCAUCAGCAACAUGGAGUGUGACGACGCUGCCACUUACUACUGUGCAGGCGGUUAUAGUAGUAUUACUGAUACCCACAGUGUUAGAAGCCCUAACAAAAACCCCCCAGGAAAGCAGAAGUUUUACAUGGACACACGUUCAAUUCAUUACCACCAGCUUAACCUUCCAGUAAACAAAGAAUUCAGCGAUGAGUGA
Molecule: non-coding RNA, 503 nt
Organism: Lepus europaeus (European hare)
Lineage: Eukaryota; Metazoa; Chordata; Mammalia; Lagomorpha; Leporidae
Source: the annotation of a RefSeq genome assembly